AGUGGUAGAUCUGUAGGGUCUGGAUAGGUAUAAACAGUAUAGUGGUGGGGUCUGGAUAGGUAUAAACAGUAUAGUGGUGGGGUCUGGAUAGGUAUAAACAGUAUAGUGGUGGGGUCUGGAUAGGUAUAAACAGUAUAGUGGUGGGGUCUGGAUAGGUAUAAACAGUAUAGUGGUAGAUCUGUAGGGUCUGGAUAGGUAUAAACAGUAUAGUGGUGGGGUCUGGAUAGGUAUAAACAGUAUAGUGGUGGGGUCUGGAUAGGUAUAAACAGUAUAGUGGUGGAUCUGUAGGGUCUGGAUAGGUAUAAACAGUAUAGUAGUGUAUCUGUAGGGUCUGGAUAGGUAUAAACAGUAUAGUAGUGUAUCUGUAGGGUCUGGAUAGGUAUAAACAGUAUAGUGGUGGGGUCUGGAUAGGUAUAAACAGUAUAGUGGUGGAUCUGUGGGGUCUGGAUAGGUAUAAACAGUAUAGUGGUGGAUCUGUAGGGUCUGGAUAGGUAUAAACAGUAUAGUGGUGGGGUCUGGAUAGGUAUAAACAGUAUAGUAGUGUAUCUGUAGGGUCUGGAUAGGUAUAAACAGUAUAGUGGUGGGGUCUGGAUAGGUAUAAACAGUAUAGUGGUGGAUCUGUAGGGUCUGGAUAGGUAUAAACAGUAUAGUGGUGGAUCUGUAGGGUCUGGAUAGGUAUAAACAGUAUAGUAGUGUAUCUGUAGGGUCUGGAUAGGUAUAAACAGUAUAGUGGUGGAUCUGUAGGGUCUGGAUAGGUAUAAACAGUAUAGUAGUGUAUCUGUAGGGUCUGGAUAGGUAUAAACAGUAUAGUAGUGUAUCUGUAGGGUCUGGAUAGGUAUAAACAGUAUAGUGGUGGAUCUGUAGGGUCUGGAUAGGUAUAAACAGUAUAGUAGUGUAUCUGUAGGGUCUGGAUAGGUAUAAACAGUAUAGUGGUGGGGUCUGGAUAGGUAUAAACAGUAUAGUAGUGUAUCUGUAGGGUCUGGAUAGGUAUAAACAGUAUAGUAGUGUAUCUGUAGGGUCUGGAUAGGUAUAAACAGUAUAGUGGUGGAUCUGUAGGGUCUGGAUAGGUAUAAACAGUAUAGUGGUGGAUCUGUAGGGUCUGGAUAGGUAUAAACAGUAUAGUGGUGGGGUCUGGAUAGGUAUAAACAGUAUAGUAGUGUAUCUGUAGGGUCUGGAUAGGUAUAAACAGUAUAGUGGUGGAUCUGUAGGGUCUGGAUAGGUAUAAACAGUAUAGUAGUGUAUCUGUAGGGUCUGGAUAGGUAUAAACAGUAUAGUAGUGUAUCUGUAGGGUCUGGAUAGGUAUAAACAGUAUAGUGGUGGGGUCUGGAUAGGUAUAAACAGUAUAGUAGUGUAUCUGUAGGGUCUGGAUAGGUAUAAACAGUAUAGUGGUGGGGUCUGGAUAGGUAUAAACAGUAUAGUAGUGUAUCUGUAGGGUCUGGAUAGGUAUAAACAGUAUAGUGGUGGAUCUGUAGGGUCUGGAUAGGUAUAAACAGUAUAGUAGUGUAUCUGUAGGGUCUGGAUAGGUAUAAACAGUAUAGUGGUGGGGUCUGGAUAGGUAUAAACAGUAUAGUAGUGUAUCUGUAGGGUCUGGAUAGGUAUAAACAGUAUAGUGGUAGGGUCUGGAUAGGUAUAAACAGUAUAGUGGUGGAUCUGUAGGGUCUGGAUAGGUAUAAACAGUAUAGUGGUGGAUCUGUAGGGUCUGGAUAGGUAUAAACAGUAUAGUGGUGGGGUCUGGAUAGGUAUAAACAGUAUAGUGGUGGAUCUGUAGGGUCUGGAUAGGUAUAAACAGUAUAGUGGUGGAUCUGUAGGGUCUGGAUAGGUAUAAACAGUAUAGUGGUGGGGUCUGGAUAGGUAUAAACAGUAUAGUGGUGGAUCUGUAGGGUCUGGAUAGGUAUAAACAGUAUAGUGGUGGAUCUGUAGGGUCUGGAUAGGUAUAAACAGUAUAGUGGUGGGGUCUGGAUAGGUAUAAACAGUAUAGUAGUGGGGUCUGGAUAGGUAUAAACAGUAUAGUAGUGGGGUCUGGAUAGGUAUAAACAGUAUAGUGGUGGGGUCUGGAUAGGUAUAAACAGUAUAGUAGUGGGGUCUGGAUAGGUAUAAACAGUAUAGUGGUGGGGUCUGGAUAGGUAUAAACAGUAUAGUGGUGGGGUCUGGAUAGGUAUAAACAGUAUAGUAGUGGGGUCUGGAUAGGUAUAAACAGUAUAGUAGUGGGGUCUGGAUAGGUAUAAACAGUAUAGUGGUGGAGCUGUAUUGAUUCCACCAUACAGAUUGUACAACAUUAAAAGAGUUUAGGGCCAAGGAGACGGGUAAGGAUAGAUCCUAAUCAAAUCCAUAGCAACACAGAGGGCAGCUGAGUGCACAGCACUGUUUAAUGAUCAGAACUGUGUUCAGGAGGGUUCUGGCUGCCAUUCAUCCCACCGACAUUCCAGUUCCGUAGCCAUUCAUCCCCAGUGUUCUAUUCUAGACUUCAGUUAGAAUGUCAUCCCACCGACAUUCCAGUUCCGUAGCCAUUCAUCCCCAGUGUUCUAUUCUAGAAUUCAGUUAGAAUGUCAUCCCACCGACAUUCCAGUUCCGGAGCCAUUCAUCCCCAGUGUUCUAUUCUAGAAUUCAGUUAGAAUGUCAUCCCACCGACAUUCCAGUUCCGUAGCCAUUCAUCCCCAGUGUUCUAUUCUAGAAUUCAGUUAGAAUGUCAUCCCACCGACAUUCCAGUUCCGGAGCCAUUCAUCCCCAGUGUUCUAUUCUAGAAUUCAGUUAGAAUGUCAUCCCACCGACAUUCCAGUUCCGGAGCCAUUCAUCCCCAGUGUUCUAUUCUAGAAUUCAGUUAGAAUGUCAUCCCACCGACAUUCCAGUUCCGGAGCCAUUCAUCCCCAGUGUUCUAUUCUAGAAUUCAGUUAGAAUGUCAUCCCACCGACAUUCCAGUUCCGUAGCCAUUCAUCCCCAGUGUUCUAUUCUAGAAUUCAGUUAGAAUGUCAUCCCACCGACAUUCCAGUUCCGUAGCCAUUCAUCCCCAGUGUUCUAUUCUAGAAUUCAGUUAGAAUGUCAUCCCACCGACAUUCCAGUUCCGUAGCCAUUCAUCCCCAGUGUUCUAUUCUAGAAUUCAGUUAGAAUGUCAUCCCACCGACAUUCCAGUUCCGGAGCCAUUCAUCCCCAGUGUUCUAUUCUAGAAUUCAGUUAGAAUGUCAUCCCACCGACAUUCCAGUUCCGUAGCCAUCUAGAACCCUUUUUCACAUUUCCUUCUCCCAUUGUAAAAUAAAUAACUCAGGGCUGUGCUGUUUAAAUCUGUACCUGUAUAUUGGGAUUUGAAACAUGUUCUUGGUUUUAUAUGUGAUUAGUAGUUCAUACAUGUCUGGGAAAGUUUGAAAAUGUUGCGUGAUCCAUUUUUAUAUUUCAAUAGAUGUUGAAAUAGUAAUGUUGUAAAUAUAGUUUGAUCAAAAUUGUGUGUGUGUGUAAAUUGGUACCAGUAUAGAGUGUGUUGGUACCAGUAUAGAGUGUGUUGGUACCAGUAUAGAGUGUGUUGGUACCAGUAUAGAGUGUGUUGGUACCAGUAUAGAGUGCGUUGGUACCAGUAUAGAGUGCGUUGGUACCAGUAUAGAGUGUGUUGAUUUGUUUAACAGUCUUUUGUACAAGUUUGAAAGUUAAUUUGUGUGCGAUUUAAAAAAAAAAUGUAUUUGAAUUAUUUUUAGGUUUUCUUUUUGGGGGAAUAAAUGUUAAAUUUUGUCCUUCAUUUUA
Long non-coding RNA from Oncorhynchus keta (chum salmon), 3726 nucleotides. RefSeq lists it as uncharacterized. The record is from RefSeq and is a predicted model, not a curated record. Lineage: Eukaryota; Metazoa; Chordata; Actinopteri; Salmoniformes; Salmonidae. The transcript has 6 exons.